UGAGUCGGCCGGGCGGCCGCGGCAGGUGACUGUCGAGGAAAGUCCGGACUCCACCGAGCACGGUGGUGGCCAACAGCCACCCACGGCGACGUGCGGGACAGUGCCACAGAGAACAGACCGCCAGCGGCCCCCAGCUCUCGAGCCGGGGGUGCGGGUAAGGGUGAAACGGUGAGGUAAGAGCUCACCAGCACGCCGGGUGACCGGUGUGGCUCGGUAAACCCCACCGGGAGCAAGACCAAGAGGGCCUCGUCCGCGGGGCCUGCGCUGACGGGCUGCUCGUCCGAUGUCAGCGGGUAGGUCGCACCGAGGCGUCCAGCAAUGGGCGUCCCAGAUGGAUGGCCGCCCCUCACCCCAGGUGAGGACAGAAUCCGGCUUACAGGCCGGCUCAUUCG
Molecule: RNase P RNA, 392 nt
Filed under: Aeromicrobium terrae
Lineage: Bacteria; Bacillati; Actinomycetota; Actinomycetes; Propionibacteriales; Nocardioidaceae
Description: Bacterial RNase P class A
Rfam family: Bacterial RNase P class A
About the family: Ribonuclease P (RNase P) is a ubiquitous endoribonuclease, found in archaea, bacteria and eukarya as well as chloroplasts and mitochondria. Its best characterised activity is the generation of mature 5'-ends of tRNAs by cleaving the 5'-leader elements of precursor-tRNAs.
Source: Rfam by way of RNAcentral